ACAAUGUUAACCAAGCAGAGGCCUCAAGUGCUGGAAGAGGUGGAAAAACUGUUGCUAGUGUGGUUGAACAAGAAGCCCCUUGCAGGGGAUAGCAUAAGCGAGGCAAUCCUAUGCGAGAAAGCCAGGAUAAUUCAUGGCAAUUUGCUGAAAAACAAUCCUUCUUCGAGUGGCGAAGCCCUGAUCUAACGCCAUGCAACAAUUAAAUCCUCAGUCCAGUUAAAAGAGGUUCUGCGCAGUCUAAGGUUCAACCUCUGAUGAAGUGCAUCAAUCUGCAGGGAGACUAUGUGAAGAAGUGAUAUAACUGUUAUGUUCAUCUGCUCACAGUUACUGAUAUUAAAGGACCAUUCCCGGGGAUUCCACCUGGCUCUCUUGACGUCAC
Polypterus senegalus (gray bichir) is the source of this 379-nucleotide long non-coding RNA. RefSeq lists it as uncharacterized. The record is from RefSeq and is a predicted model, not a curated record. NCBI's taxonomy places the organism in Eukaryota, Metazoa, Chordata, Cladistia, Polypteriformes, Polypteridae. The transcript has 3 exons.